RNAcentral lists this ribosomal RNA (253 nucleotides) under uncultured bacterium. RNAcentral describes it as "partial 16S ribosomal RNA". It matches the Rfam family "Bacterial small subunit ribosomal RNA", at positions 524 to 776 of the family's 1533-position model. The record is from RNAcentral.
UACGAAGGUCCCAAGCGUUGUUCGGAAUUACUGGGCGUAAAGGGCGCGUAGGCGGCCUUCUAAGUCAGACGUGAAAUCCCCCGGCUUAACCUGGGAACUGCGUCUGAUACUGGGAGGCUUGAGUAUGGGAGAGGGAUGUAGAAUUCCAGGUGUAGCGGUGAAAUGCGUAGAUAUCUGGAGGAAUACCGGUGGCGAAGGCGGCAUCCUGGACCAUUACUGACGCUGAGGCGCGAAAGCUAGGGGAGCAAACGGG